UGACAGCUCUCUGGGUCCGUGGUUUC
Molecule: non-coding RNA, 26 nt
Filed under: Mus musculus (house mouse)
Lineage: Eukaryota; Metazoa; Chordata; Mammalia; Rodentia; Muridae
Source: RNAcentral